GAUGAAGAACGCAGCGAAAUGCGAUAAGUAAUGUGAAUUGCAGAAUUCAGUGAAUCAUUGAAUCUUUGAACGCACCUUGCGCUCCUUGGUAUUCCGAGGAGCAUGCCUGUUUGAGUGUCAUUAAUAUAUCAACCUUCUCUUUUUUGAGUUGUUUGGAUGUGGGGGUUUGCUGGCCUCUUAAAUGAUUCAGCUCCCCUGAAAUGCAUUAGCAGAACAACCUGUUCAUUAGCGUGAUAAUUAUCUAUGCUAUUGAAUGUGAGGGCAGUUCAGCUUUCUAACCGUCCUUGGACAAUUCAUCAUUAAUGUGACCUCAAAUCAGGUAGGACUACCCGCUGAACUUAAGCAUAUCAAUAAGCGGAGGA
RNAcentral lists this unclassified non-coding RNA (362 nucleotides) under soil metagenome. Its description in RNAcentral is "partial contains 5.8S ribosomal RNA, internal transcribed spacer 2, and large subunit ribosomal RNA". The stretch from base 1 to 120 matches the Rfam family "5.8S ribosomal RNA", at positions 35 to 154 of the family's 154-position model. The record is from RNAcentral.